Molecule: long non-coding RNA, 361 nt
Organism: Daphnia magna
Lineage: Eukaryota; Metazoa; Arthropoda; Branchiopoda; Diplostraca; Daphniidae
Exons: 3
Source: RefSeq, a predicted model, not a curated record
AUAAAGAGGGACGUUGGAGGUAGCUAAAACGCCACGAAGCAGCAGUGUUUCGUCAAAAGAGAACUGCGUUCAAGAAAGCGAUUUCGUACCAGUCCUUCCAUGUGUUCUACACGAAGCUGCUGCUAGCCUGAUCAACGAGCAGCCUAUGCCUUCUCCUCGUACGAUGCCUGGAACCAGGGGCAAAAUAGGAAAACUAAUGGAAAGAGGACCUACACCAACAGUUAUGAAACAUAAUGGUCGAAUUCAAAUCUCCCGAAACACUGCCACGUCAGCUAAAAUAAUUCAUUCACCGAUGUCAGCAAGAUGCGUUGAACCGUCGAAUUCUCUUAUGGAAGUUUCCGUCCUCGAGGCUGUUGGAGGG